GUCUACUUGACUGGCCACCAAGAUGCAUGCCAGUACAUGCAUCCUCCGAUGGCAGAGACCAGAUAGGUCGCAAAACCAAGCUCUCAAGACAUAGAACAAGAUAAAAGGCCUGGACAACAGGCUUAUAGAGAUGCCUGUGUCUUAUGACAAACAACAAAAAGACAGAGACAAGGAAAAGUACUAUCUCUGGGAGGAAAAGGAUCUACAACCAGUGAGUACUCAAUCAAAUCCUAGAGUUGCUGAAUCCAAGAAGCUAGCCUCACCAACAUUUUCUUCUGCUAAUCUAAAAUUAGAAGAGCAAAAAAACUCACCACUCUUGCUUCCAUUGGACCCUGCAGGCAGAGAUCUGGGAGACUGAUGUGGCAAGAACUCUUACCUCUUGCUGACUCUCUUCAGGGGUCUGGGAUCUCUUGGCUGCAGCAGUCCAGGAGCAAGCAGUGCCCAGCCAGUGAAAUUUUAUCCUGCCCAAGUCGCCAAACUGUAAGGGAGGAAGACAUUUCCUCUACCCACUGUGUGUUCUUCUGGCCAGAGAAUGAAUUUAAUUCACAUGAGACAGAAUGACAGGAGAAAAUUAAACAAAGCUUUAUAACAUGCAUACAUGGGAGAGGCUCAGGCAACCUGAGCAACUUGCCAAAAUGGCUGAAGCCCCCACCUUAAAUAUCAUCUUCAGCUAAAGACAAGGGAGGAUGUUGGGGGUGGGGGAAGUCAGCUACAGGAGGUUACCAGACAAGUACAAUAAACAGGAACAAGAUUAUUAUGCGGAUUUAAGUCCUUGCCUUCUGCAUUGAUAAGAGUUUCUAGAGAUAAGGUCAUUCCCCUUCUUCCUGGUGCAGAGAGGGAGGAAACUUUGCAGAUGGAGAUUUCCUUUACAGUGUAAAUGUCUCUUAACAAAGGGUAGUAAAUUCUACUCCUCAGAGCUCCUUGCCUAUCUGCAGUUUAUUAAAAGUAACCAGCCCCAAAUAACCCUCAUGCCAAAGAGACAUAUCUUGGGGUAGCAAAUUCCAGUCCCCCACACUUUCUUUCCAAAUCCAGGCCCAUUGGUUUUUGACCCUUCCUAGCCCAGAGAGAGCUAUUGCCUUCUUGCUUGCCUCAUUUUGUAUCCAAAGGGCUUGGCUUUCUGCCUGCCAGGGAUAUUCAGGCUGUUGGUUCUUUGUGGGGGGGGGCAGGGAUCUUUGGGAAUGACUGGAUCUUAGGAAGGUAGUAACAUUUGAGGGCACCUCUUAUAUCCCUGGAAUUGUUUAAUACUGUCAGAAAUACUUAGAAAGAUUUUUCUAGUAGCUUUAUGGUAAAAAAUUGGCCAAAUUGGAAGCUGAUAUUGGAGUCUGAUAGGAAUUUUGAUUGGCCUUCUUCCAUAAGUUAAAAUAAAACCAUGUACUCAGAGGGAAAGAAGUAAAUUAAGGAUGUUGUAGCUGGACCAGUAGAUCAAAUGAUGAUGCCAUUUAAGUUACAACCCAAAUUCUGAGGAAUUAAGAGCAACUGUCCUUUUUAUCUUUGCAAAACUGGAAAUACAGCUCUAGAGGCAGUUCAGAUUCCACCAUUCUCUUUCAUCAAUCCCCAAAACCUCCCCUAUUUAUCUCAAAAGGCUUGUAACUUCUUCAGAAACUCUUAUUUAGACCAUCCUCAAUUCAUAAGGCUGAAGAAAAAAAGGAAGAAAGAGGCAAACAAGUAUAGAAGCACCCUUGCCCCAAAUCUAGCAUCUGAAGCGUCAUCUCCACAAAUAUUAGUAGAAAAAGCUUUGGCCAUCUAAGCAGAUAUAAAGAAUAUAUUUUUUCUCCUAAGCCAACUAUGACAAUAACAAUUGGUAAAUUAUGGCUUUGUAAGCAUAAUUGAAACAUUUAUCUACUUCUCCGUACCUGAUCCCUCAAGAAUUCAGAAAUUUAAAAUGCUUCUUAUUAAAUACCUGGUUGCUUGCAUCAUAGGCUUAACUUUGGGAUCCCAUCUGUAUCACUGUAUCCUGAAAUUGGAGACCACUGUUGAAUUGGACUAACCUAUUCUUUAAGCCAAGAGACUGGCUCAAGGAGAUGGAGCAACCUACCAACUCAACUUCUGGAAUGUAAAACUUGUCAUGAAGUUUCAAAGGCAGGAGUAAAGGGGUUCAAAACUGCCUCCCCAAGAUAUGCCACUUUGGAAUGUGGACUAUUUUGAGCUAAAGGCAAUCGAGACCCUAAAGUCUCAAGAAAAAUUUUAUACCUUUUUGAAGAAUUUAAAUUGGGAGCUUUGACCAUAAUAAGAGUUAUUACAGAAAUAAACUUUUACGACCUGUCUGUAUGGCAGGGGAAAUCUCUAACUACUGAAUACUUGCUCUUUUUAUCAUUCUGUGAAUUACCUUCCUCCCCUCUGAAGACUCAGGCCCCUAAUCUAUCCCUUAGCUCAAGAUGGCAUAUAUACCUCAUUUUACCUUUCUCUCUCUAAAUCUCUCAUGUAUUAGGUAUUCCUAUAUGUAUGAAAUUAAAUAUGAUUUUC
Molecule: long non-coding RNA, 2463 nt
Filed under: Equus caballus (horse)
Lineage: Eukaryota; Metazoa; Chordata; Mammalia; Perissodactyla; Equidae
Description: lncRNA (ENSECAG00000044007.1)
Source: RNAcentral